Molecule: ribosomal RNA, 467 nt
Filed under: uncultured bacterium
Lineage: Bacteria
Description: partial 16S ribosomal RNA
Rfam family: Bacterial small subunit ribosomal RNA
Source: RNAcentral
ACGAACGCUGGCGGCGUGCUUAACACAUGCAAGUCGCACGGUGAAGCUCCAGCUUGCUGGAGUGGAUCAGUGGCGAACGGGUGAGUAACACGUGAGCAACCUGCCCCUGACUCUGGAAUAAGCGCUGGAAACGGCGUCUAAUACUGGAUACGAGAAGGGUCCGCAUGGGCACUUUCUGGAAAGUUUUUCGGUUGGGGAUGGGCUCGCGGCCUAUCAGCUUGUUGGUGAGGUAAUGGCUCACCAAGGCGACGACGGGUAGCCGGCCUGAGAGGGCGACCGGCCACACUGGGACUGAGACACGGCCCAGACUCCUACGGGAGGCAGCAGUGGGGAAUAUUGCACAAUGGGCGAAAGCCUGAUGCAGCGACGCCGCGUGAGGGAUGACGGCCUUCGGGUUGUAAACCUCUUUCAGCAGGGAAGAAGCGAAAGUGACGGUACCUGCAGAAGAAGCACCGGCUAACUACGUG